GACGAACGCUGGCGGCGUGCUUAACACAUGCAAGUCGAGCGGUAAGGCCCUUUCGGGGGUACACGAGCGGCGAACGGGUGAGUAACACGUGGGUGACCUGCCUUUAGCUCUGGGAUAAGCCUGGGAAACUGGGUCUAAUACCGGAUAUGACUCCGCGGUGCAUGCUGUGGGGUGGAAAGCCUUGUGCGGCUGGAGAUGGGCCCGCGGCCUAUCAGCUUGUUGGUGGGGUGAUGGCCUACCAAGGCGACGACGGGUAGCCGGCCUGAGAGGGCGACCGGCCACACUGGGACUGAGACACGGCCCAGAACUCCUACGGGAGGCAGCAGUGGGGAAUCUUGCGCAAUGGGCGAAAGCCUGACGCAGCGACGCCGCGUGAGGGAUGACGGCCU
This 389-nucleotide ribosomal RNA is filed under the name uncultured bacterium. Its description in RNAcentral is "bacterial SSU rRNA". It matches the Rfam family "Bacterial small subunit ribosomal RNA", at positions 28 to 417 of the family's 1533-position model. The record is from RNAcentral.